AGUGAACGCUGGCGGUAGGCCUAACACAUGCAAGUCGAACGGCAGCACAGUAAGAGCUUGCUCUUACGGGUGGCGAGUGGCGGACGGGUGAGGAAUACAUCGGAAUCUACUUUUUCGUGGGGGAUAACGUAGGGAAACUUACGCUAAUACCGCAUACGACCUACGGGUGAAAGCAGGGGAUCUUCGGACCUUGCGCGAUUGAAUGAGCCGAUGUCGGAUUAGCUAGUUGGCGGGGUAAAGGCCCACCAAGGCGACGAUCCGUAGCUGGUCUGAGAGGAUGAUCAGCCAAACUGGAACUGAGACACGGCCCAGACCCCUACGGGAGGCAGCAGGGGGGAAUUUUGGACAAUGGGCGAAAGCCUGAUCCAGCCAUACCGCGGGGGUGAAGAAGGCCUUCGGGUUGUAAAGCCCUUUUGUUGGGAAAGAAAAGCAGCAGGUUAAUACCCCGCUGUUCUGACGGUACCCAAAGAAUAAGCACCGGCUAACUUCGU
RNAcentral lists this ribosomal RNA (491 nucleotides) under uncultured bacterium. RNAcentral's name for it is "partial 16S ribosomal RNA". It matches the Rfam family "Bacterial small subunit ribosomal RNA", at positions 29 to 506 of the family's 1533-position model. The record is from RNAcentral.